Molecule: ribosomal RNA, 497 nt
Filed under: uncultured bacterium
Lineage: Bacteria
Description: partial 16S ribosomal RNA
Rfam family: Bacterial small subunit ribosomal RNA
Source: RNAcentral
GACGAACGCUGGCGGCGUGCCUAAUACAUGCAAGUUGAGCGAUGAAGAUUGGUGCUUGCACCAAUUUGAAGAGCAGCGAGCGGGUGAGUAACGCGUGGGGAAUCUGCCUUUGAGCGGGGGACAACAUUUGGAAACGAAUGCUAAUACCGCAUAACAACUUUAAACAUAAGUUUUAAGUUUGAAAGAUGCAAUUGCAUCACUCAAAGAUGAUCCCGCGUUGUAUUAGCUAGUUGGUGAGGUAAAGGCUCACCAAGGCGAUGAUACAUAGCCGACCUGAGAGGGUGAUCGGCCACAUUGGGACUGAGACACGGCCCAAACUCCUACGGGAGGCAGCAGUAGGGAAUCUUCGGCAAUGGACGAAAGUCUGACCGAGCAACGCCGCGUGAGUGAUGAAGGUUUUCGGAUCGUAAAACUCUGUUGGUAGAGAAGAACGUUGGUGAGAGUGGAAAGCUCAUCAAGUGACGGUAACUACCCAGAAAGGGACGGCUAACUACGUG